GACGAACGCUGGCGGCGUGCUUAACACAUGCAAGUCGAGCGGUAAGGCCCUUUGGGGUACACGAGCGGCGAACGGGUGAGUAACACGUGAGUAAUCUGCCUUUGGCUUGGGAAUAACUUCGGGAAAUCGGGGCUAAUGCCUGAUGUUUACUGUCUGCUGCAUGGUGGGUGGUGGAAAGAUUUUUUGGCCAGGGAUGAGCUCGCGGUCUAUCAGCUUGUUGGUGGGGUAAUGGCUACCAAGGCUUUGACGGGUAGCCGGCCUGAGAGGGUGUUCGGCCACACUGGGACUGAGACACGGCCCAGACUCCUACGGGAGGCAGCAGUGGGGAAUCUUGCGCAAUGGGCGAAAGCCUGACGCAGCCAUGCCGCGUGAAUGAUGAAGGUCUUAGGAUUGUAAAGUUCUUUCGCCCGUGACGAUGAUGACGGUAACGGGAGAAGAAGCCCCGGCUAACUUCGUGCCAGCCGCCGCGGUAA
This 473-nucleotide ribosomal RNA is filed under the name uncultured bacterium. RNAcentral's name for it is "bacterial SSU rRNA". It matches the Rfam family "Bacterial small subunit ribosomal RNA", at positions 28 to 523 of the family's 1533-position model. The record is from RNAcentral.